CCUACGGGAGGCAGCAGUGGGGAAUAUUGGGCAAUGGGCGCAAGCCUGACGCAGCAACGCCGCGUGAGGGAAGAAGGCUUUCGGGUUGUAAACUUCUUUUAUCAGGGACGAAGCAAGUGACGGUACCUUACGAAUAAGCCACGACUAACUACGGGACAGCAGCCGCGGUAAUACGUAGGUGGCAAGCGUUAUCCGGAUUUACUGGGUGUAAAGGGCGUGUAGGCGGGGAAGCAAGUCAGAUGUGAAAACCACGGGCUCAACCUGUGGACUGCAUUUGAAACUGUUCUUCUUGAGUGCUGGAGAGGUAAUCGGAAUUCCGUGUGUAGCGGUGAAAUGCGUAGAUAUACGGAGGAACACCAGUGGCGAAGGCGGAUUGCUGGACGGUAACUGACGCUGAGGCGCGAAAGCGUGGGGAGCAAACAGGAUUAGAUACCCCAGUAGUC
This 443-nucleotide ribosomal RNA is filed under the name uncultured bacterium. Its description in RNAcentral is "partial 16S ribosomal RNA". It matches the Rfam family "Bacterial small subunit ribosomal RNA", at positions 338 to 795 of the family's 1533-position model. The record is from RNAcentral.